This 253-nucleotide ribosomal RNA is filed under the name uncultured bacterium. Its description in RNAcentral is "partial 16S ribosomal RNA". It matches the Rfam family "Bacterial small subunit ribosomal RNA", at positions 524 to 776 of the family's 1533-position model. The record is from RNAcentral.
UACGUAGGGUGCAAGCGUUGUCCGGAAUUAUUGGGCGUAAAGAGCUCGUAGGCGGUCUGUCGCGUCGGAUGUGAAAACCCAGGGCUCAACCCUGGGCCUGCAUUCGAUACGGGCAGACUAGAGUUCGGUAGGGGAGACUGGAAUUUCUGGUGUAGCGGUGAAAUGCGCAGAUAUCAGGAGGAACACCGGUGGCGAAGGCGGGUCUCUGGGCCGAUACUGACGCUGAGGAGCGAAAGCAUGGGUAGCGAACAGG